Molecule: long non-coding RNA, 218 nt
Filed under: Coffea arabica (coffee)
Lineage: Eukaryota; Viridiplantae; Streptophyta; Magnoliopsida; Gentianales; Rubiaceae
Description: long non-coding RNA (CARA_LNC007129)
Source: RNAcentral
GUGCGACUAACCCAUGUUCAGUGGCAGUGAAAUGCAAAUAAAGUGCUCACUAGUGGGACUGACCCAUGUUUAGUGUCAAUAAAGAUGAAAUACACGUUAGUGGGACUGACCCAUGUUUAGCGGCGACGAAAAUAAAAUACUCACUAGUGGGACUAACCCAUGUUUAGUGGCAAUAAAGACGAAAUGCACGCAAGUGGGACUGACCAUAUUUAGCGGCG